Molecule: long non-coding RNA, 1525 nt
Filed under: Anas platyrhynchos platyrhynchos (common mallard)
Lineage: Eukaryota; Metazoa; Chordata; Aves; Anseriformes; Anatidae
Description: lncRNA (ENSAPLG00000029459.1)
Source: RNAcentral
GUCAUUUUCCAGCAUCCGAAGUAGGAAGUAUUGAGUGUCUCUUCCUUCUCUCAACUGACUUACAGUCACAGUGCUUUUCUCUGGCUUGUGGCAGGAUUGUUUCUCUGUUAGCAACUUAUUUUUUAAUACACCAUUCUGACACCUUGACAGUUCAUGUGCUAAAUCAAACUUUACAAUUACUGGCAGGCAGUUAUUAGAUGUAUUGCACUUAAUUAACUUUGCACCUAAUUACAAGCAGUGCUGGCCGAUUACAAAGGGCAUAAAUAUAUUAGUGCCCUAGCUGUCACAUCAUGAACAUAGCUGUUUGAACAAGUCAAGCAAAAGCAAUUACCGCAUUGUGUGCAUGGUGAAGUGUAGCAGAGUGCAGAAAGAGGAAUGAACUGUUUUACUAUUUGCAAGAAUUUAAUUUUGCACUUUGCAUUUCAGGUGACCCAGAUGAGCAAAGAGUAUGAUAAAAGAUUUCCUUUUGUCUGUAUAAAUACUUCAGGAUUGCUUCAUGUGUGUGAAGAGAAAACAAAAGUUGCAUGAUGGCUACUCCUUUGUCAUUACUACAUGGCUGCUGCUUUUUUCUAAUUGCCACUGGUUAAAGUAUUCAACCCCUAUGGUCAGUUAAGAUAUUUUUCUUUUGUUCUGCUUUCUUGUAUUAUAAUCACACAGUGGAGGAAAUAGGGAUAUAUGCAGAAAUAUAUGUCUCUACUCAGUUUUGAAGCAGAAUAUCACAGCUUUAUGAUAUCUUGCUAGUGUGUGAGGGGCUGCUUCCUCCUGGACAAAUUGUGGGCUGUGGUGAGAGGCACUGCUUGACGAGGCCAAGAGCCACAGCCCUGCAGGACACAGGAAUCCCACUUCUCCUCAAGGUUUUCAGGGUCUCAGCAAGAACUUGAGGUCCUGCCUCUUACAGGUGAGAUGCUACAGUCAUUCAGCACAUUGUUGUGUAUCUGGUAUCUGGUUCUUGCACAAGGCAGGAACCAGAUACCAGAUACCCAGUCCCAGUGGUGAUGUCCUCUCACUUGAAGCAUGGCUGUUAAUAAGUAUUUAGAGUCGAUCGUAUGUAAGCAUUGAACGGUUGCCCUGUUUUAUUCCUGCCCCCCACUCCUAUACAUGGAUUGAGAAUGGAAAUAAUAAGGAAAAGGCUGGGAAGUCAACUAUGGCAAUUAUUUUCCCCAUUUGUGUUGCAUUUCAUCAGCCACUGUUGAGUCCUCAGUUUUGCCGUAUUUAUCAUAUUUGCUUUCAUGGAACAUUGACAGAAAACUGAGUUAGUAGUUCUUGUUUUUCUGUAGCUGAGAGAUUUCUUGGUCAUGGCCUCUGAAGACUUAUAGCCUUAGUGCUCUCCUGAGACGCCAGGACUUCUAAGAUCCAAGCAAGUCAUGUUAUGUGGCUUUUACCCUUUUUCUAGAAGCAACUAAAGAAAAACUGCAGUGAUAUAAGAAGAAUUGACAGGUAUGUAAAAGCACCCUGUCUCGAUUUUCUAUCUAAGUCUGCUUUGUUCAUGGAACUGUAUACUUUAUAGUUUGACUUUUACACUCUG